UCGAAAUGAAAUAGUGGUUCAUCAGUUAAAGCUGAAGUGCGCCGAAAAGUACCCAUAUAUUGUCUAUAGAGUUCAAUUCUCAAUUGAUUUAGAUGAAUUACGUUGUAAAGUCGAUGAUCGCUGGUGAUAGAUUGAAUCGCUUCCAGUAAUCGCACACGCUCCACCUCGGAUUGCAAAAAUUCAACUGAACGGACACCCCGAUUUCUGGACAUGAUGCUCUCCUCCUCCGGCUAUAUAAUCAUAAUCUACUCGGAUCGGAUCGGAUCGGAACGGAUCGGACGUAAGUCGAAGGCGCAAAUCCGAAGCAAUACGAAAAAAGAAGAAGUCGCCGCCGAUAAUCGCCCAAGCCCCCUUAUCAAUAAUGGAUCGAAUGUUGCCAGGAGGGCUCAACAGAUGAACAGAUGCGCCUCAAAAUCUGGACAAGAGGUUAAUGGCGCUCUAAUGGCAUCUCUUGGCGAAUAAAAAACAAAUUUCUAAUAUAUAUAUACUUGUCGAACAAAUAUUGGACGAUAAGGGGGCAUGGUCACUGAUAGCUGAUUAAAUCUACCUGCUGACGCAUUCAAAAAAUCCGAGCGGUGUUAUUUUUCUUGAAGAUCUACGGGUUCUAUCAUCACAACUGUGAUACUUAUUAUCGGCCAGGGAUUUACCCUGAAAUGCAAAUUUGAUUUACGAAAACGCAGGUGAUUUUUCUGGGCAAAGAUUGAGUUUUGUUUG
Drosophila gunungcola (fruit fly) is the source of this 714-nucleotide long non-coding RNA. RefSeq lists it as uncharacterized. Lineage: Eukaryota; Metazoa; Arthropoda; Insecta; Diptera; Drosophilidae. The transcript is spliced from 3 exons. The record is from RefSeq and is a predicted model, not a curated record.